GGGUGGUGGCACACCAGGUUGAGCGCACAUGUUACAGUGCACAAAGACCCAGGUUCGAGUCCCCAGUCCCCACCUGCAGGGGGAUUGCUUUGCAAGUGGAGAAGUAGUGUUGCAAGUGUCUCUCUGUCUCUCCCUCUCUAUCACUCCCUUCUCGACUUCUGGCUGUCUCUAUCCAGUAAAUAAAGAUACUAAAAAAAAGAUUUAAUUUAAAAGACGACUUGACGGGAGGCCAAGCAGUGGCACAUAUGGUUAAGUGCUCCAUGAAAUGACUACUUGAACCCAAUAUACUUUGAGAGAAGAAACUGGAGUAGUAGGGUGGGAGCCAGUUAUUGCCACAGCUUUUGCUGGCCAACCAACCAUUUAUUUGGCAUGUAGAGCAUGCAUAGUCCUCCCCCAGCUUCUCUUUUAAAAAUAAAAGUUAUAUGUGAGUGAUUCCAGUUUAUGGUAAAUUGUAAACAAUGAACUUUUAUACUUUUACUGCUGUCGAGUGCUUCUUUUGCUGUUUAUUGGUUAUUCUUUGUCUAAUCAUAUAGAAUGUUAGUACAUUUUUAAAACCUCAUUCUUGAUCAAGUAACAACUGUUAGAUAGUAUUGUAUCACUUGUUAUAAUAGGAAUGUUCUUGCCCGUAUGUAAAACAUGCUGAUACUUGUUAAUAAAAUUCUAUAGAUGUAAAA
This is a long non-coding RNA of Erinaceus europaeus (western European hedgehog), 674 nucleotides long. RefSeq lists it as uncharacterized. Lineage: Eukaryota; Metazoa; Chordata; Mammalia; Eulipotyphla; Erinaceidae. The record is from RefSeq and is a predicted model, not a curated record. The transcript is spliced from 2 exons.